RNAcentral lists this ribosomal RNA (552 nucleotides) under Gaetice americanus. Its description in RNAcentral is "partial 16S ribosomal RNA". It matches the Rfam family "Bacterial large subunit ribosomal RNA", at positions 1831 to 2625 of the family's 2925-position model. The record is from RNAcentral. Lineage: Eukaryota; Metazoa; Arthropoda; Malacostraca; Decapoda; Varunidae.
GUCUAUUUGAAGAUAUAAAAAGUUUAACCUGCCCACUGAUUAAGUAAAAUUAAAUGGCCGCGGUAUCUUGACCGUGCAAAGGUAGCAUAAUCGUUAGUUUUUUAAUUGGAAUCUUGUAUGAAUGGUUGGACAAAAGAAAAUCUGUCUCUGUGUUAAUUAUUGAAUUUAACUUUUAAGUGAAAAGGCUUAAAUAAAUUAAAGGGACGAUAAGACCCUAUAAAGCUUAAUAUAUGAUAUUACUUAGUUAAAUUUUAAAUUAUAAAAACUUAGUGAUCAAGUUUAUUUUAUUGGGGCGAUAAAAGUAAAAUUGUUACUAACUGCUUAAAUUUUUAUACACUUAUAAAUGUCUACAGUUUUAAAUGAUCCUAAAUAAAGAUUAAAAGUUUAAGUUACUUUAGGGAUAACAGCGUUAUUUUUCUUAAGAGUACUUAUCGAAAGAAAAGUUUGCGACCUCGAUGUUGAAUUAAAAUGUCUUUAUAAUUGCAGCAGUUAUAAAAGUAGGUCUGUUCGACCUUUAAAAUUUUACAUGAUUUGAGUUCAAACCGGCGUGAG